CUGAUGAUGACAGUGUUGAUGAAGGUGAUGUGAAUGUUAGUAAUGAUGAAGUAGGUGGAAUUAUUGCUGGUGGUAGUGGUGAAGAUGGUGAGAAUUGAUGAGGUGAACUUGAAGAAGAGAAGUAUGAUGAAAAUGGUUGUGGUGGUGGUGAUGAUGAAAAUAGUGGGAAUGAUGAGUAUAACGUUGAGGAUGGUGAAGAGGAUGAGGAUUCUGUUGUUGAUAGAAUUGAAGAUGUUAUUGUUGAUGAUGAUGUUAACGUUGUUGGUGAAGAUGGUGGGGAUGAUGAUGAGCGCUGUGAAUUUGCUGAUGAUGGUAAUGAUGAGGACAAUGAUGUAGAGGUUACUGAUGAUGAGGGCUGUUUUAAUUGGGUUGAUGAUGAUAGUGGGACUGAUGAGGAUGAGACUGAGGAUGAUGAAGUUGGAGAAGUUGAUAGUAUUGAAGAUGGUGGUGUUGAUGAUAAAGGUGAUUGUAAAGUUGGUGAUGAAGAAGGUCUAGAUGAUAAUGUUGCAGAUGAUGAUGACACAGUAGUGGGACUGAUGGAUUGCAGCUGAGGAUGUUGAAGAUGAUGAGUUUUGUGUAGGUGACAGUAUUAAAGAUGUUGAUGAUAACGGUGUUGUUGAAGAAGGUAGGGAUGGUGAUGAAGGCUGUGAGAUUGCUGAUGAUGUUAAUGAUGAG
This is a long non-coding RNA of Cyprinus carpio carpio, 675 nucleotides long. The record is from Ensembl. NCBI's taxonomy places the organism in Eukaryota, Metazoa, Chordata, Actinopteri, Cypriniformes, Cyprinidae.